UACGGAGGGUACAAGCGUUAAUCGGAAUUACUGGGCGUAAAGCGCACGCAGGCGGUUAAUUAAGACAGAUGUGAAAACCCCGGGCUUAACCUGGGAACUGCAUUUGAGACUGGUUAGCUAGAGUAUGGUAGAGGGGGGUAGAAUUCCACGUGUAGCGGUGAAAUGCGUAGAGAUGUGGAGGAAUACCGGUGGCGAAGGCGGCCCCCUGGACAAAGACUGACGCUCAGGUACGAAAGCGUGGGGAGCAAACAGG
RNAcentral lists this ribosomal RNA (253 nucleotides) under uncultured bacterium. Its description in RNAcentral is "partial 16S ribosomal RNA". It matches the Rfam family "Bacterial small subunit ribosomal RNA", at positions 524 to 776 of the family's 1533-position model. The record is from RNAcentral.